Molecule: ribosomal RNA, 588 nt
Filed under: uncultured bacterium
Lineage: Bacteria
Description: bacterial SSU rRNA
Rfam family: Archaeal small subunit ribosomal RNA
Source: RNAcentral
UGAUAAGGGAAUCCAGAGUGCUUAUACUAUGUAUAGGCUUUUGCCAAAGGCAAAUACUUUGGCGAAUAAGUGGUGGGUAAGACUGGUGCCAGCAGCCGCGGUAACACCAGCGCCACAAGUGGGAACCACAUUUAUUGGGUCUAAAGCGUUCGUAGCCUGUUUAGUAAAUCUUCUGUGAAAUUGUUGGGCUUAACCCAACAGCGUGCAGAAGACACUACUAAACUUGAGACCGGGAGGAGUUAGGAGUAUGCUUGGGGGAGCGGUAAAAUGCUAUAAUCCCUUGUAGACUACCAGUGGCGAAGGCGCCUAACUAGAACGGGUCUGACGGUGAGGGACGAAAGCCAGGGGAGCAAUCCGGAUUAGAUACGAGAAGUCAUCUUACAGAUAACUUCUGGAAUUAGCUCGCAAGAUUGCAAUAAUCAUCACUUUGCGAGUUAAGGAAAGAAGCGAACAAUGUUGACUUGCUCGCUAAUUACCCGAGUAGUCCUGGCUGUAAACGCUGCGAGCUAGGUGUUGCACAUUCUUCGUGAAUGUGCAGUGUCGAAGCGAAGGCAUUAAGCUCGCCACCUGGGAAGUAUGGUCGCAAGA